UCCAACAAUGAGGAAAAGUUUUUAAAAGUCCAAAUCUAAAAAUUUUGACACCAAUAUUUUUUUAUUUUGUUUUGAAAGUUUCUCUGCUUUUCCUUACAGGCAAAGCUGCCCCCUUGGUUUUACUUCUCCUGACUUGCAUGAACCACAAACCCAGUCUCUGGAGGAAUUAUCAAUUUCCUCCUGUCGUUCAUGGUAAGAUGUAGACCUGCGGAUUUACUGGUAAAUGGAAUAUUAAUACUAUUGUGUGGAAAAAGUGAGUUAUAUGGUUGUGCAUCAGUUUCAGAUGUGAGGUCUAUGUGAAAGUGGAGCCAUCAGCCAGUGUAGAAGUGGUGCAGAGAAACAUGACUGCAUUACUAAGGUCAACGUUCCCCUACAACCUAUUUCACCUUAGAGUUGACCCUAACAGCAUUACUGUUCUCUCUGUGGGUGAUUUUUUUCUGGAAACAGAACAUACACCGACUAUUCGACCAAAUCAGACAGUUUCAGGAACAAGUCCAAGUGUGUCAUUGCAGCCCAAUAGCUCGUACGCUACCAAAGAGGAACUACACAAGAAAAAUAGUUCGUUGGUUCAAUUCGACCAAUUUUUUCGAGUCAAUUUGACCUUAAAUAUGAUGGGUAACCCAGCACACCCAGAGGACUUCAUUGAGAGAUGGGU
RNAcentral lists this long non-coding RNA (655 nucleotides) under Oryzias javanicus (javanese ricefish). RNAcentral's name for it is "lncRNA (ENSOJAG00000004473.1)". The record is from RNAcentral. Lineage: Eukaryota; Metazoa; Chordata; Actinopteri; Beloniformes; Adrianichthyidae.